GGCACAGCAGUGGGAAACAAAACUUCCUGCUUGCGGUGGUGGGAGCACAAAGGGCCUCCACUUUUUGGUAUUGAGGUGGGUGAACAGGUGCACUACAACACGGGACCAGUUCGAUAAGAGCCCUUAGAAGAGAGCCCUUAGCAAUCUGGUGUUCAAGAGGAGGGCUUAAAAUGAUGGAAUAGCUUGAAUGUGCAUGGGGAAGAUGACAAGAGUUGGUGGAGGCAACCUUAUCCUCAUUAGCAACAUCUUAAAUCACUGAGUGAAUGUCCUUUCUCAUGUUUCCUGCAGUUGCUGCAGAUAAUUCUGAGUCUAUAAAACUUCGCUGGAUAUAGCUCUGUUUGCAGGAUCUCAUUCCAGUUUUGAGGAGUAAGUACAUUCUUGUCUGGUCUUUCAGAGUGAUGCAGUUUGGAAAAACAACAUACCAAAGCAGUUUUCUUCCAUGUGGUCGUCCAUCAGCAUAGAUGUCUGCACUAUCUGUGCCCACCAAUUUACCUAGGUAUCACCUUCAGCAAGAGAAGACUGGGGGAAAGAGAAUGUUUUCCUGUUGAGAAGAGAAUCCUUUUUUAACUUACUGAUUGAGAGGACAUGCUUUCCAUCCUAUAUUGUUUGUUAUUUGUCCCAAGGGUUG
Corapipo altera (White-ruffed manakin) is the source of this 628-nucleotide long non-coding RNA. RefSeq lists it as uncharacterized. NCBI's taxonomy places the organism in Eukaryota, Metazoa, Chordata, Aves, Passeriformes, Pipridae. The record is from RefSeq and is a predicted model, not a curated record. The transcript is spliced from 3 exons.